AUGGGUGGUUUAUGCUGUUUUAGCCCGUGCAACCAGUACAGUGUGCCGCCUUCCAUGCAAACAAGGGCAAGAGGAACUUUCAGAUCAGGACGUGUUUGAUGAAUUUCAAAGUAUUGGUUGCUAGAGCAUCAGAACCACGAAAGGUGGGUAACUCAACUUGUUUGGUUGUGAGGGUAGUGGGAGGUGUAACUUUUUAUGUUGGCAGUGAUUGAGUGGCGGGAACAACAGUUGAAUGGGUGGCAGAAUCCCCUUCAUCUAUCUUUUCCUCAGGCUAUGGUGGUCAAAAGACCUAUCGCAGCAAGUUUAUUGUGGAGCUGUUCAUUGUCCAAACGGAGUUUGGCUACCCUGUUAUCAGUGACGCCGAGAUUCUUCUCCUCUGUUCCCACUCUGGAUUCUGUUUGUGUGUGUGUGUCAUUCAAGCAGCAGUUCGUACCAAUUUGGUCGAGUAAAGAAUCUUAAUGGGAAGGAAAGA
Molecule: unclassified non-coding RNA, 472 nt
Filed under: Hevea brasiliensis (rubber tree)
Lineage: Eukaryota; Viridiplantae; Streptophyta; Magnoliopsida; Malpighiales; Euphorbiaceae
Source: RNAcentral